UUUUAUAGUUUUAAUUUGAUA
RNAcentral lists this non-coding RNA (21 nucleotides) under Caenorhabditis elegans. The record is from RNAcentral. Lineage: Eukaryota; Metazoa; Nematoda; Chromadorea; Rhabditida; Rhabditidae.